UUGCUAUGGCAACAUGUACACUAACAUUGGAAUGAUACAGUGAAGAUUGGCAUGGCCCUUGCUCAAGGAUGACACACAAAUUCGUGAAGUAUUCCAUAUUAAA
This is a small nuclear RNA of Lontra canadensis (Northern American river otter), 103 nucleotides long. Lineage: Eukaryota; Metazoa; Chordata; Mammalia; Carnivora; Mustelidae. The record is from RefSeq and is a predicted model, not a curated record.